AUUCCUGAGGAGCGCUGCGACGACUUCCUCCGCGGCGCAUGCGCCGCGCGGUUCGCCAGGCUCAGGAAACCUUGUUCAGGCGUUGCUCCGUGCAGCGCCACAGCAACGGCGCUCACCUCUG
RNAcentral lists this non-coding RNA (121 nucleotides) under Bordetella ansorpii. RNAcentral describes it as "SAH sequence". It matches the Rfam family "SAH (S-adenosyl-L-homocysteine) riboswitch aptamer". Lineage: Bacteria; Pseudomonadati; Pseudomonadota; Betaproteobacteria; Burkholderiales; Alcaligenaceae. The record is from Rfam by way of RNAcentral.